GCAGAGGCCCUUUUAAGGGCCACCUGUAGUGCUAACACUCUUUG
Non-coding RNA from Buceros rhinoceros silvestris, 44 nucleotides. NCBI's taxonomy places the organism in Eukaryota, Metazoa, Chordata, Aves, Bucerotiformes, Bucerotidae. The record is from Rfam.